ACUCUCACUUCAGCAACAUGAAUAAUAAGAUUGGAACCAUACAGAGCUUAUCAUGACCCCUGUGCAAGGAUGGCACACAAACUCAGAAGCACUCCAUAUGAAA
Molecule: small nuclear RNA, 103 nt
Filed under: Microtus ochrogaster (prairie vole)
Lineage: Eukaryota; Metazoa; Chordata; Mammalia; Rodentia; Cricetidae
Source: RNAcentral